RNAcentral lists this ribosomal RNA (448 nucleotides) under uncultured bacterium. RNAcentral describes it as "bacterial LSU rRNA". It matches the Rfam family "Bacterial large subunit ribosomal RNA", at positions 910 to 1357 of the family's 2925-position model. The record is from RNAcentral.
CUGGAUGGGCUAGGGCGGCGCGAGCUGUACCAAACCUAACCAAACUCCGAAUACCAUCGAGUCUAGUCCGGCAGACAGACAUUGGGUGCUAACGUCCAGUGUCGAAAGGGAAACAACCCAGACCCUCAGCUAAGGUCCCAAAGAUAUAAUUAAGUGGUAAACGAAGUGGAAAGGCAUAAACAGUCAGGAGAUUGGCUUAGAAGCAGCCAUUCUUUAAAGAAAGCGUAAUAGCUCACUGAUCGAGUCUUUCUGCGCGGAAGAUGUAACGGGGCUAAAUUAUACACCGAAGCUAGGGAUUCAUAUAUUUUGUAUGGAUGGUAGGAGAGCGUUCCGUAGGCCUGUGAAGAUAAUUUGUGAAAAUUGUUGGAGGUAUCGGAAGUGCGAAUGCUGACAUGAGUAGCGAUAAAGGAAGUGAAAAACUUCCUCGCCGAAAACCCAAGGUUUCCUG